AGGCAAUGGAUUUUUUUAACACUUCUGAAGCGUGAGCAAACUAAUUUCCUGUCUUGUAUUUUGUAGGUACUGGUCCUGGUGAGCCUAAUGGUGGCAGAAGGGAGAACUGUGGCAUGCUUUGGACGCAGUUACGAGACCAGGAAUUAAAACUUGUGUGCUACAGGGCUACCCUGGAUCUAUGACUGAGCAACUACAGUGCUGGACAUCACUGGAGCGAGGAGGAGAGCCAUUGGCAACACAUUCGAGGCAACAGAAAAGUAAAUUAAUGGUCCAAAAGGGAAAUGUGAAAGGAAAUGGAGGAUGAAUUUGUUUGUGGCUCUUCCAGAUAACCUUGUUUUCUUCCUGGUAUGACAGCCUCCUGGUUCAUUGAAAUGACGUGGAAACAUUUAUACAACCAGUUGGUGCCCAGUUGGUAUCACAUAUAGUAAGCCCCAGACUGACUGGACGGCUCUCAAGUUGAGACGGUGGUAGACCAUGGAGAUGUCUGGGGACAUUGUUUAUGCCAAUGAAGAUGUUAGAGGAAAACAAAGUGUUUCAGGGGACCACUUUUAUAAUAGACAAUAUCUAUGAAGACAUUUAUGAAACUCCAGACACCAUCAAGUUUGAAUUCAGAAACAUGACUGUGGAUGUUACCCCAAGGAGCAGACCAAGAGCUGAACUCUCAGAGUCUGAGCAAACCAAGAGACUUUUACGAGCUUCUACACUGUGUCUGGGGCUGCUGGGUGUUCUCCUACUGGCUGGGAUCAUAGGACUGUACCUCUACUAUGACAGCGCAUUUUACAACCUGACUGAGAGGGGCCAGUUACAGACCAGUUACAACAAUCUGACUGAAGCAGGAGACCUGUUACAGGCCAGCUACAACAAUCUGAUUGCAGAAAGAGACCAGUUACAGAGGGAGAGAGACCUGUUACAGGCCAGUUACAACAAUCUGAUUGCAGAAAGAGACCAGUUACAGAGGGAGAGAGACCUGUUGGUUCGGAAUUUGACUUCUGAGAGAAACAGUUGUCCUGAUGGAUGGAGGAAGUUUGACUGCAGCUGUUACUUCCUCUCCAUUGAGUCUAAAACCUGGGAGGAGAGCAGACAGGACUGUCUGAAUAGAGGAGGAAACCUGGUGAUCAUCCAAAGCAGAGAGGAACAGGAAAUGCUCUAUUACCAUUAAAACAGGACUACAUUAAAACAUUUAUGGUGAUGUCCUGGAUUGGUCUGACUGAUGAAGAUAGUGAGGGGAACUGGACAUGGGUGGACAACACACAGCUGACUACAGAAGAGUACUGGAAUUUUGAUGAACCUAAUGGUGGAAGAGAGGAGAACUGUGGAAUGAUUUGGUGGAAUUAUGAUGCCUGGAAAGACGCCUCGUGCUUUGAAAGGCGACCCUGGAUAUGUGAGAAAUAUGCACAUUUGUAGGUUCUAAAAGAACCUAGUAAAAUUUACGGAUUAGUAAAACUUUAACCAAGUUUAUUCACCCAUUGGGUCAUACAAUUGCGUAAGACAUCAAUGGUGGUAUAUAUAUAUACCCCAAUUUGGCUGACGUCCUCCUCUCUAAACAUAACUUCCAGCCUAGCAAAAAAUAUGUAAAGUGAUACGGGUAAUAAACUAUUACUUCUCCUUUAACAUGACCUGACCUUCACUAAUCCACAGCUCGCCACCAUUAUCAGUCACUGCAAUCAUGUAAUAGCCUCUCCUCUACUCAGGACCUCCCAAAUCCCCUAUCCAACCUUCAUUGACCCAACCAUAUACAUUCCUCCUACAGAUACCCAUUAACUUCUGGUGUAUAAACCAGAUUAUGGCACUCCUCAUGUCUCUAGCAUAACUGAUGACUAACAAUAUUUAAAGUUUUGAAAUCCAAACCCAUCAAUAUGUUUAAGAGACGCAGCUCAUAUAAUCUAUGCAUGCAUACACGGCACACACAGCCUACCUAAGUGAUCUAGUUGAACCGCUCUACUCAGCAACUUCACCAUGUUUUUUGGCCAGUCUGUAAAUGACAGAUGUCUCUGAGCUCAUUCACAACAAUCAUGUCACUCUCUAUCAAACCUGCUGUCUCCCUUCCACCACAUCCUGAACAGUGAAGUCAUCAUUACUUAAACUGAGCUGACCAAGGACUGUACACACUGACACUGCAAUUGAGAAAAGUUUGUUGACAUUGUUAGCCAUAGAGUAGUUGUUUUUUUAUUUUGCGUUAUCAGUUUAUGUUUUGGUUGCUAUUGAGGCAGCUUGUCACGUCCUGGCCAGUAUAAGGGUUAAUUGUCAUUGUAGUUUGGUCAGGACGUGGCAGAGGGUAUUUGUUUUGUGGUUCGGGGUGGUGUUUUGGUAAAAGGGCGUUUGAUUUCCGUGUUUUUGGUUUAUGUAUUUCUAUGUGGAGUCUAGUGAGUGUGUUUCUAUGGUUGAUUAAUUGGGGUUGGGACUCAAUUGAAGGCAGGUGUUUUCUCUUUGCCUUUGAUUGAGAGUCCCAUAUAUUAGGGUGUGUUUGUCAUUUGUGGGAGAUUGUUUCUUGUCUAGCGUAUGUGAGCCUGAGAAGACUGGCUAUAUCGUGAGUUCGUUUUUGUAUGUUCAUUUUGAGUCUAAUAAAUGUUCAAGAUGAGCCAACACAAUUCUGCUGCAUAUUGGUCCUCCUUUUCCGACGAUGAUUUCGCCAUAUCGUCUGACGACGACAAUCCCUGACACAGCUUUUAUCACAUGUGAUUAUGUAUUUCUUGACCUGCCUUGUGAUUUACUUUAAUGCUGUUUUUUAGUCUUGUGCUAAUAAAAGGAAAUGCAUGAAUACA
Non-coding RNA from Salmo salar (Atlantic salmon), 2762 nucleotides. NCBI's taxonomy places the organism in Eukaryota, Metazoa, Chordata, Actinopteri, Salmoniformes, Salmonidae. The record is from RefSeq and is a predicted model, not a curated record.